CCAUUCUAACAUUAAGCAAAAAAGAUGAAAUUAAAGUUAUACUCCUUCGGCAGUAUUUUGCACUUUAACUCACAUAUUCGCAUGCUCCCUUACUCAAGAAUUUCGCAUUUCGUUCUGUGUUGUCGUCACUUAUGCCAUUUUCUAUGGUUCGGUUUCUGCCUUUUUUUCUCUUUUUUUUUUUUUGAUUUUGGUGCUGUCUUUCCCUCGAACGACCGCAUUCCUAUUUCGCAUAUGCCACCACUUUUCGUAUGAAAUCACGAUCUAUACACGACUUUUCAAUCUUUUUACUGUCUCUUUUAGCAAUCUACAAUCUAAAAUUAAUUUUUCAGAUACAUGUCGUUCAAACAUGUGAGUUGCGCUGUCCUCCUCCUGGCCAUUUUCUACAUAAUACUCGCAUGAUGUCGUUCAGCCGGCACCUCGUCCAUCCCUCUGCAAUAUUCUUCUGCUGGCAAAAGAUGAGCAAUAAUACGUCGCUGCACAUAUGUUCUACAUUCCUCUGCAUAUCUCUAUGUGGUCGCACACACGCACAUACUUAUGCAUAUAAAUACAUGAUUUAUUGCUCGUAUCACACAUAGAUGUACUAUAUGUUUAUUUACCGACUAUUUAGCUGCUAAAUCGGAUUCGUGUUUAUCACCAAAACUUUGCUAUUUUGCUUUAAAUAUGCUGCUGCUGCGGCGCUUGUCAUUGUGGCACCAGUUUCGACUUUUGUGUCAGCUGGGCGGGUGUGUGGAUUCUUUAACGCCGGCAACUUAUACACUUGCGUCAGCGUCUAUGUAGUCACCAGUGGGAAAAAUACGUAGUACCAGAGAAAGGCUGAUAUCAAGUAAUAAUAAUCAGCCAUCAGGAUUUCCUAGACCAAUACGUUGUAUGACUGCUUGCUUACUGAUCGGGAAAUUUCCAUCGUCACAAGCAAUAUAAUUCGAAGUUUUCCACCGCUUUUGUUGCACAGCGUGCACUGUAAAGUGCCUUACCACGGCCGAAGCUGGGGGCCAUCCUCGUCGAAUUUCACAAUUCCUUUGCUUUUUCCGGUCGAAGUGCACUUCCGAUUGAAUUGUCUUCACUUUUCUAUCUUGUUGGCCGUUCCUUCAUUGGCUCACGUAUACGCGCACCAACACAAGUCUAUUUGGCGAGAACACGAACACAUUCAGACUGACGUCGCCGCCUAUAUACACAUUAGUCCAUACAAAAUACAUACUUUGCACUACAAACGUACAUACAUGCAGCCAAAUAUAUAAUACAUGUGCACAAGCACUGAACCGCAGUGCACAAUGCCCAUUUGUCGUUUGCCGCAAUACCGCCCGUCAUAUGACGAUGACGAUAAUAACAGUGCAAACAAGUACACACGGCAACAAUGGAAAUACUUUCAAUAUUUAAACAAUGCCAAAAAAUAUCCGAUAAGUCUGCGUUUUUUUCUGUUCUUUUUUUUAAACUCAUUUUCGAAACGUGUAAACAACGCCCACAGCACUUCCAACUGAUCCUUAGCAAAUUGUGUGUAGUUUUUGUUAUAGCGUCACUCCCCUCUAUGUCUACCAUUUGGAAAAUCAGCUGUCUGUCAUCGGCGUUUGCACUCGGCGACGACCUUAAAUAACUGCUUGGCCAUCUGGUGUACUGUUGUGACUAACAACUAACUGAGUAACUGACUAACUCUUGAUGUCUGCUUCCAGUUUGAAUGCUUUGUACUUCAUCAUGCCUAAGGCUUGCAAAGUGCUCACGAUAUCAUAUGAAUAUAUUGCCGUUUCCUGCACAUUAGAAAUAAAGAACGAAGAAUAAUCAGUAAGCAGUAGAAAAUUCUUAUGGACUGAUUUUUUGUAUUUCCGGUUCGCGUGCACAGAUAAUCCAGCAACACAUCUUUCCAAUAAGACCGAUAAGAUAUCAAACCCAAGUCCGACAGUGGCUUUUCCGGCGAUCCAAUUUUGCCCUCCACUCUAGUCAGAAGGUAA
Long non-coding RNA from Bactrocera latifrons, 1940 nucleotides. RefSeq lists it as uncharacterized. The record is from RefSeq and is a predicted model, not a curated record. NCBI's taxonomy places the organism in Eukaryota, Metazoa, Arthropoda, Insecta, Diptera, Tephritidae. The transcript has 3 exons.